AGGACGAACGCUGGCGGCGUGCUUAACACAUGCAAGUCGAGCGGUAAGGCCUUUCGGGGUACACGAGCGGCGAACGGGUGAGUAACACGUGGGUGAUCUGCCCUGCACUCUGGGAUAAGCCUGGGAAACUGGGUCUAAUACCGGAUAUGACCUGCUCUCGCAUGGGGGGUGGGUGGAAAGAUUUAUCGGUGCAGGAUGGGCCCGCGGCCUAUCAGCUUGUUGGUGGGGUAAUGGCCUACCAAGGCGACGACGGGUAGCCGACCUGAGAGGGUGACCGGCCACACUGGGACUGAGACACGGCCCAGACUCCUACGGGAGGCAGCAGUGGGAAUAUUGCACAAUGGGCGAAAGCCUGAUGCAGCGACGCCGCGUGAGGAUGGAAAGGCCGUUCGGGUUGUAAACCUCUUUCAGCAGGACGAAGCGCAAGUGACGGUACCUGCAGAAGAAGCACCGGCUAACACGUGCCAGCAGCCGC
This 475-nucleotide ribosomal RNA is filed under the name uncultured soil bacterium. RNAcentral describes it as "bacterial SSU rRNA". It matches the Rfam family "Bacterial small subunit ribosomal RNA", at positions 26 to 518 of the family's 1533-position model. The record is from RNAcentral.